This 1958-nucleotide long non-coding RNA is filed under the name Homo sapiens (human). RNAcentral describes it as "HSALNT0026328". Lineage: Eukaryota; Metazoa; Chordata; Mammalia; Primates; Hominidae. The record is from RNAcentral.
GUGUCCAUAUAAGGAGAGAGAGAUUUGAACACACAGAGAAAGCACACAGGAGAAAGAUUUGUGAAGACAGAGGCAGAAAUUGGAGCCAUCGUGCCACAAACCAAAGAAUGCCGGAGAUUGUAGGCAAAAAACAGACACCAGAAAAGUUCUGAAGAGGAAACAAUUUUGAAACCCAGAAGAGAACUGCAGUUUGCUGUGCUUUAGGUUUAGUUUGAAGGUGAAGAAAUCUAAGAUCAGUAAAGCCUGAGAUCACCAACCAGAAAGCAGCUUAACUGGGGAUGGAAAGAAGAACUGUUUGGUUCCAAAGCAUUUCAACAUGUUUGGAAAUUGUCAGACUGCUUAUCACUGGAGUGAGGAGAUUUUUGUUCUAUAGGUUGUGGUAGCGUCUGCCAGUAGACAAAAUCAUCAUGAAAUGUUAAGGAUGAGAGAGGUACUUGCAAACCUUCUUAAAAGUCCAGAGGAAACAGUGACUGUGUAGUGUGAAGACUCGAGCCAUCCCCAAAGUAGAGCAGCAGCACAUGCGAAGAGGGAUUCUUAUCUGCCCUUGAUUGAGAGCCUGCUGCAUCCAUCCAUGCUGCUUCUGUUGAACUGGGAACAGAGAGGCCUGCAGCAACCAGGGAGGAGGUGGAGCGACUUUGUUGCAAUUGCUUACCCCAUAAUAAUGCAUUGUAUAUAUAGAUCAUUUUUUCAAACCAGGCUGGCAUAAAUAGUACUAUGAUUUGACCUGUUUGGUGUUCCUAUUAUCCUCUUUUGUAAGGAACCUAAUUCUUUCUUUAAAUUUAUUUAUUUAUUUAUUAUUUUUGGAAACAGAGAAGUCCUGGAGCUUUUCUUAAAUGAAAAGUACAGGGUGUCUGCUAGUAGUUCAUCUGAUGUUGAAAGGGCAGACUGUUACCAGUAUCGCCAGAUAGCUUGGGUUAGUGGGUGAAAUAUUUUCCUGAUUAUUGUUUCACAUUAUCUGGUGUUAAUACCUUCAAGUAUAUAUUGAAGCAAUUAUCUUAAUAAAGCCCUAUUUUACUUCUCUCUGCUGUUUUCUUCAUGAUUAUUUGCCAUAUGGUAAGAGAGAAUACGUAUACACAAUAAAUGUUAACAAACACACAUGAAUAUCCGGACACCUCUGUCUCUCUGUGUGUCUCUCUUUGUCUCUUUCUGCCUCUCUUUUUCUCUCUGUCUCUGUAUCUUUCCCUCUCUCCUUUUCUCCUUCCCACAGGCACACACAGACACUUCUUCUGGCUUUGAGAUAAAUCUAAAAAUACCUGCUGUUUGAAAUCACUUCCCGUGGUGAUUAAAAAGGACCUUUCCCACUGAGAUCCAAGAUAGCUUUUCUUCCCUGUGUUGAAACAGGGCCUCUGCCUGUGGUUGUCACUGUGGAGUAAGAUGUCCCUGCGAGGCAAAGCAUAUGAUGUGUACCAUGGGCUCAUUUAGGCCAGGUCUCGUUUAAAAACAAUCUUUUCCGAAGCUAUUUAUAAUUCCUUGGCUGAGAAGAAUACAACUUUAGUGAAAGUGAAUAGUAAAAGGAAGCAAUUAAAUUCCUUAUGCAAUGGUCUUUUUUAAAAGAGCGGGUGUGUUAUAGAAGGAAAAAUCCUGCGUUAGAAGUCAGUGGUCCUUAGGCUACUUCUUAGAUUACUAAACUUCUCUGGGUCCUUAUUUGCAUAUUUUUUUCUCAUUCCGUCAUUUGCAUAUCCCCACAAAAUAGGAAAUGAUACAGGGCUCUUAAGCACACGGCAUCAUACAAACUCUAAGUCCCUUGAAGCUGCUUUGAAAAUUACAAGUGCCCAUCUUCCAAGCAUUCUGAUUCUCUGGGUGAGGGCAUAGUCACCUGCAUCCUUACAUAUUUAAAAACUAUAUUUUAUCUUCAAGGCCCUUUCCAGCCCUGAAAUAGUAAGACUCCAAAAAUAACUCGCUUCUAUAAAAACUGCAUGAAGAUCAUUUGAUCAUUUAGUCAUAUAAUAGCUACUCCA